Long non-coding RNA from Saccostrea cuccullata (small rock oyster), 565 nucleotides. RefSeq lists it as uncharacterized. The transcript is spliced from 3 exons. NCBI's taxonomy places the organism in Eukaryota, Metazoa, Mollusca, Bivalvia, Ostreida, Ostreidae. The record is from RefSeq and is a predicted model, not a curated record.
GUAGUUCAACAAAGUAAUGCAGUGCAUUUAUUCACUUGUGUUGUUUCCUCCUGGAUAACGCGUUUAUCAAAAGUUAAUUGAUUGACACAGCGGGAUGCCGUGGUCAGCGCUGAUGAAACCGCUCCUUGCUGCAAACUAGUUCCACGUGAUCUAUAUAGGUCAACUUAUCAAGAUUUUGAAAAACCGGGCAGCAUUCUUGAGAGACAAAGAACAGGAUUUAGGGAAUAUUUUACAUCAUCGUAUGCGGCUGUUUGCAAAGACUAAAUACACCUUUUUAAAGAUUACAUGUUAUGAGAGGAAUUGGACGGAAUGAAGUUUAAUUUGCUACACACCAUCUUUGAGGGAUUUACCGGGGUAUUAAUUUUAAAGAAGAAAACAAAGAAGUCCAAGUGCCAAACAGAUGAUUUCCAAAGGAAGAAGAAUAUUGUGAUUUUUUUUCUUAUUUCAAUUGUGACAAAUCUUCCCUGUUAAGAAGACUGUUAUUGACUGUGUGGAUGUAAAAAAGAGUUCAUGGAUUACAUUUGUGAAAGAGUUUAAACCAAUUAAAACCAUAGGAAGUACAAUA